This is a long non-coding RNA of Lathyrus oleraceus (garden pea), 945 nucleotides long. RefSeq lists it as uncharacterized. Lineage: Eukaryota; Viridiplantae; Streptophyta; Magnoliopsida; Fabales; Fabaceae. The record is from RefSeq and is a predicted model, not a curated record. The transcript is spliced from 2 exons.
GAGUUUAAAAUUAUAUUUGAUUUCCCCUUUUCAAAAAAAAAAAUUUAAGAAAAUAUUUUGAGGAAGUGAUUGAAAAUUGGCUAGAAUGGUUGGAAAACAACUCUUCAAUUCUCGAGAUGGUCGAAGCAGGUUCUGACAACUGAGCAUUUGAUAGAAAUAAAGCAGUCAAAGCUUGGGAGAUGUGCUUGAAGAUCAAGAAUAUAUCUCUCUCCAUUUUCCAUUGGUUCACAAUACAUAAAAUUGAUUUUGCUUUAUCUUAAACUCUCUAUAAAAGUUGUCUUCCAUUACCAACAAAGUCACGUUCAUUUCCAUCUAUCUCUUCUCAUAACUUAUAAUAUGAGCAAGUCACCCAAGAGUUCCAAGGAGAACUCUUCCAAAGAGAUUGUCAAGGCUAUCAAAGAUGCUGAAGGAAGGAUCCACAAGGAUGAUAAGCUCAAUAAGUUUGAAGGUUCAAAGUCACAAACUGGUUCAUCUGCAGGAGCUUCUUUGGUUAGAAGAACUUCAGUCUCUAAGAUGAAUAAACUCAAGAAGAAGACGGAUCCAAUUGGUCCCUACGACUAAAGAUCACAUCGAGGCAAAAAGGAACAAAUAGGACGAAGAAUGCUACAAAUCCUACCUUCGAGGCAGAGGCUGCCCCAGAGUUUGUUGCACUGAAGAAGAUGAAAUAAAAGAAAAACCCAUAGAGAACUUCAAAGAGGCCUUGUGGAAUUAAGGACCAAAGUUGGCAUGCUAUGCGGAAGAGAUUAGUCCACUUCAAGAAAUCAAAGAUGGGAUGAAGCAAAAGAUAUAGGAUAGGGUUUAGGAUUAGAAAGUUGACUUUCAUCAACUGAUUGAACAAAAAUUCAACAAUUAACCAGAGUCAACUAUAUGUAAAAAAGACAAGUUUGGUUAAUUAGGUCAAAAAAGACCACUUCAAGAAAAUAAGUUUUUCAAUUCUUUUAUCAA